RNAcentral lists this long non-coding RNA (2412 nucleotides) under Sorghum bicolor (sorghum). RNAcentral describes it as "long non-coding RNA (SBIC_LNC008444)". Lineage: Eukaryota; Viridiplantae; Streptophyta; Magnoliopsida; Poales; Poaceae. The record is from RNAcentral.
AUGGGACUUGUAACCGUCACUUUUGUCUUGAGUAGUUAAAAGAUAGAACAGUCUAGCCAAGUGCCAUGUCUCUUAUUCUUGAUCAGCUAUAGCUCUGGAGUUUUUGCAGAUUUUCAAAUAAAACUUAGAGAUUCCUUGUAUGACUCUAAAUCUCUCUUUUGUGGUAUUUUUGGAUCCUUACCAAGGCAGUGAUGGUAUAUGCCUUCUCUCAAGAUAUGUGGUAUUUGUGGUAUAAGGCAUAGUGACAUUGCCUUCUCUCUCACCCUACUCUAAUAAGGCUUUAAUAUCAGGAGCUCAUAGGUGGGAGAUAAAGUAUACAUACUUACAAGACAUUUAUUGUACAGUCAAACCAUGGAUCCAAAGAAACAAAUCAAUAAGCCAAAUCAAGAUGUGCAUGUGUGGCGAAUGAAUGGUGUAUGGUGAUAACAAUGGUGAAAGUCUAAUUCUACUUUUGCUCUUUUGAGGGGAUACAUACCUUCCUUGAUUUUUGAAACUUUAUGAGGAGAAUGAGAUGCUCUAUCUUUUCUUUUUCUUUUCUCUCAGGUGGGUAUCUUGUACCCCUAAUUCUACUGUCGGACACUUGUCCAUUUUUACCUCUCGUCUCACUCUCUCUCUUUUUUUCUUUCGAGGUUCCGGGCACUUGCCCCUUUUUAUUUCCUCGUAUAUUUUUUUCUCUCCCUUCUCUUUUUUUUAGAGCACUCAUCUCAUGAGAUAAUAUAGCAAGUGGUAGUAACUAGAUAGCUUGAGCAUUUAUUUCACAAGGAAAAACAGAAAUAUUUUUGGUUAUUCUCUCCCGGAUUAGGAGUAGAAUAUUUUUUUGUGGUUCUGGAGAUGGAAAUGAGUGGAUAUAUGUGGAUGGUACUUCCGGAGUUGAAGUAGCAUAUAUGAGUGAAUGUGCAAGUGAAAUCUUGAUUUAACCACAUGACAAGCUUCUAAGGGUCUACACAGCUUGACCACACUCAAUGCUCAUAAGCAGUAAAUAGUAAAUGUGUGGCUCAAAGUCUAGCAAGCAUGUAUAUAUGGCUAUGGUAGGAAUUUAAACUUUCAUCAUACAGAAACUCAUCAUGCAAUAUUUUAAAGAUUUUUCAAACAUAAAAUUCUCCAGAAUUCUAGCAUCUCUAGGAACAGAUAAACAGCAGCUCAGCCUUCCCAUAUCAUAUCCGUUAACAACUUAGAUUUCAGAUCAAGGUUUCAUCCCACAAGUUUAGAUCUAGAGCAAGCUUUAAAUUAUAACAGUUAUGUCUAAACUUGAGAGAGAACUUCAAAUAUGUAAAUUAGGCAGAGCAACUAUUCAUCAUAUCCAUGCUAGAGUUUUAUUAUUAAGAUUCAGAUUAGCAUAGCCACUUUAUUUAUUAAACACACUAAGCAAAAGAUAUAUAUAUAAGUACAAAAUCUUUAUUUGGUUUUUCAUACUUUAUGUAUUUUAAUAUUCUAAUAUAAUAUAAGUAUAAAGAUAGGUAGAAAUACUUAGCGAGAUAAAUGGGGGUGCUCUCCCCCAAGCUGAAUUUUGACGUAAUUUCUCUUGAUGUAGCUAGGAGGUGGCAGAGGUGUAUUUGAAAGUCAGCAGCAUUCUGACAGCAAUUAGAAUGUCCUCCGUCUGCUAGUCUUCUUGAUUCUUAAAUUAUGUGGAGCUCAAAUAGACAAAAAAGCUUGUGGAACUAAUUAAGUGUUAGCAUAAAUAUCUAGCCUUCAUCAUGUUGAGCUUCCUCAAUAAAUAUUACUCCCUGUUUUUAUAUUUUUAUUUUAUAAAGCAGAAAAGAAAUAUUUAUUUUAUUUUUAUGCCACCAAAGUGAAGGUACUUAUGGGUUUUAUGCCACUCGUAUACUCACAAGGGGCUUAGUAUUUAUUAACAUUUUUAUUUUCUUUUCAAGAUAGCAUGAUUAACUAAUAAUCUAUUUAAGGAAAGUAAAUAAUUAAAGGGAAAAGGGAAUGCAGAAAGGAUAAAUAUGGAUAACUACCGAUCUUACCUUUCGGCGAGGGUUCAAUGUUUUAAGUGUUCUUAACAAUACUUCUCACUGUGUUCAUUCUUCAGGUGCGUCAUUUGAUUCAGAUGCGGACCUUGAUGUCUGCACUUCUUCGUUUGCCCAGCAGUUCGAAGUGUGGCGUCGGCAGUAUCUUGCUCAGUGUCUUUAUGCUCGUAGAUCCAGGUCCUUCACUUGGUAGAGUCUGAGAGUUAUAAAACUCCUCCGUGUUUUGCUCGAAGUGUACCUGCUCAUAGAGACAAGGCAGAGAUCAAGUGCAUGGGUCCUGUUGGUGGAAAACACCACCAGAACCUAAAGUGUAUUUGUUCUUCCCUAACCCUAAGCAUAGUGAGGAAGACAAAGUUGAUGGAUGAAAAGUUCAUGAGUGUAGCACUUAUAACAUUUGUCAGAUCAGAUCGCUCAACCUUAUGGAAAGAUAAUCUAUCUAUGU